CAGUAGCCGCGGUAAUACGUAGGUGGCAAGCGUUGUCCGGAAUUAUUGGGCGUAAAGGGCUCGCAGGCGGUUUCUCAAGUCUGAUGUGAAAGCCCCCGGCUCAACCGGGGAGGGUCAUUGGAAACUGGGAAACUUGAGUGCAGAAGAGGAGAGUGGAAUUCCACGUGUAGCGGUGAAAUGCGUAGAGAUGUGGAGGAACACCAGUGGUGAAGGCGACUCUCUGGUCUGUAACUGACGCUGGGGAGCGAAAGCGUGGGGAGCGAACGGGAUUAGAUACCCCCGUAGUCCCUGUCUCUUAUAC
Molecule: ribosomal RNA, 301 nt
Filed under: uncultured bacterium
Lineage: Bacteria
Description: partial 16S ribosomal RNA
Rfam family: Bacterial small subunit ribosomal RNA
Source: RNAcentral